UGGGUGGAACGAUAUGGCAUUUAAAACAGUGUUCCGAGAAGGACUUAACCAUGAAUUACAAGCAGAGUUAGCAUGCAAAGAUGAAACCUCUGACCUAUCACAGUAUAUCACCAUGGCUAUUAAGUUAGAUAAUCUCAUCCGUAACAAACCCCGCUCCAAACAAAACAAAAUGGCUCCUGUUCCAGUUGAAGCUGCUCCUCUCUCUAUGUCCCAAUCCACAGAACCCAUGCAAAUCGGCUAUACUAGAGUGUCACCAGAAGAACGACAUCAUCAUCUACAGGAACAUAUGUGCUUUUACUGUGGCCAACCCAAUCAUCAUUGCAAUACCUGUCCCAAUAAAACCAACAACACCUCCAGGAAAACACGCUAGUGGAUUCUGGAUCUGCAGUCAAUUUAAUCCAUGAUGACCUCGUCCAGGAAUUAAAGAUCCCCACUCUGCCAUGCAUCCCUUCAAUUAAUGUCACAGCAGUCGAUAACGAACCCAUAGGACAAGGCAUUUCACAACAGACAGUCCCAAUAACUCUACAAAUUGGAUUAUUUCACACUGAAGAGAUCUCAUUCUAUGUCAUUUCUUCUCCCAAGAACCAGAUCAUUCUCGGUCAUCCAUGGUUGGCUAUCCAUGACCCUAGUAUUUCUUGGAGUCAAGGUGAACUCAUCAAAAGGUCUCAUUAUUGCCAAGAACACUGUAUUAACUAAAGGAUGACCUUACCAUGUUUUACCACGAGUGUGGAAAGUCCAGAUACUUUUACAACAACAGUGAUUCCAGCUGAAUACUCAAAAUUUUCAGAGGUCUUCAGCAGAGCAAAAGCAACCCAACUACCUCCCCAUCGUCCAUGGGAUUGUGCCAUUGAAUUUCUCCCAAAUACUACACCUCCCAAAAGCAAAGUUUACCCCUUGUCACGUCCAGAGACUCAGGCCAUGGAAACUUACAUUGAAGAAGCCCUGGCAUCAGGCUUUAUACGUCCCUUUACCUCUCCAGCAGCGGCAGGGUUCUUUGUGGAGAAAAAAGGUGGCGGACUAAGACCAUGCACUGAUUAUCGAGGUCUCAAUGCAAUCACAAUAAAGAACAGAUAUCCACUUCCUCUUGUCCCUUCGGCACUGGAACAACUCCGGGAGGCACGUUUCUUUACCAAACUAGAUCUUUGAAGUGCCUACAACCUUAUUCGAAUCAGAGAAGGGGAUGAAUGGAAAACUGCCUUCCUCACCACUAGGGGGCACUAUGAAUACCAAGUUAUGCCAUAUGGUCUGGUCAAUGAACCCUCUGUCUUCCAGUCUUUUAUCAAUGAAAUCCUCAGAGACCUGCUAAACCAUUCUGUCAUUGCAUACAUUGAUGACAUCCUAAUCUAUUCCCAAACAAAAGAAGAACACAUUCAACAUGUCAAGACAGUACUAACUCGGCUCCAACAGAACCAACUCUACAUCAAGGCUGAGAAAUGUGAGUUCCAUACCAUUAGUACUACGUUCUUGGGGUACAUCAUCAGUCAUCACGGUGUGGAGAUAGAUCUAUCUAAAGUCAAAGCAGUUACCGAAUGGCCACAAUCUACCACUAUCAAAGAACUUCAACGAUUUCUUGGUUUUGCAAAUGUCUACAGAAGAUUUAUAAGGAAUUACAACAUCAUUGCAGCCCAUCUGACAUCCCUACUCAAGGACAAACCCAAGAAACUUCAAUGGAACAAAUUCGCUAACACUGCUUUCAACACCCUUAAGACCUGCUUCACUACUGCACCCAUCCUCAAGCAUCCUGAUCCAAGACUACCCUUCAUCAUUGAAGUAGACACUUCUGUCAUUGGGAUUGGGGCUGUUCUCUCUGGCACACCAGGCCGAAUGUACCCAUGUACCUUCUAUUCUAGAAAACUCACUUCUGCUGAAAGAAAUUACGAUGUGGGUAACAAAGAAUUACUUUCUAUGAAAGCAGCAAUGGAGGAAUGGAGACACUGGCUAGAGGGAGCGGAACACCCAUUUCAAGUUAUCACUGACCAUAAGAACUUGGAAUACAUCAAGAGUGCCAAGAGACUCAAUCCACGACAAGCCCAUUGGUCUCUAUUCUUCACCAGAUUCUGAUUCACAGUUACCUACCAUUCUGGAAGCAAGAACAGUAAAGCAAAUGCUCUCUCUAGAAGGUAUGACCCUAUGUCUUUCCAAAAUAACCAAGACUCCAUUCUCCCCUCAUCAGUGGUUGUACCAUCCCUCCGCUGGGAUAUCAUGGAUGAGAUCCAACGGGCACAACAAACAGAUCCUCCCCCACCUUCCUGCCCACCAACCAAGCAGUAUGUUCCACGCCUCCUCAGACAAUGUGUGAUUCAAUGGGUACAUACUUCCCUCAGCGCUGGACAUCCAGGUAUUCAACAAACCAUUACCUUAAUAUGCAACUCAUUCUGGUGGUCUUACUUAACUAAAGAUGUUACCUCAUAUGUCAAGUCCUGUUCUGUAUGUGCUCAGUCAAAAACCCCCAAGGAUCUACCUGCUGGACUGCUGGAACCCCUACCCAUACCUCAGAGGCCCUGGUCCCAUCCCACAGCCAUGGAAACAGCCACUGCCUUGUUUCAUCAUGUGUUCCGGGUAUAUGGAUUACCAGAGGACAUUGUCACGGACAAUUCACGUCAAGGGUAUGCAGGAAUUUCGCAAACUGUUGGACAUUAAUGUUAGUCUAACCUCAGGCUACCACCCACAGGCUAAUGGACAAGUGGGGAGAUUGAACCAGGAGAUCGGACGUUACCUUGUAGUCGGGAAAAACAGAGAUGGAGUGAAUUUCUUCCAUGGGCUGAGUAUGCCCAAAAUUCACUAAUCCAUUCAUCCACAGGACUCACCCCCUUUCAAUGUGUACUGGGUUACCAACCUCCCAUGUUCCCUUGGUCUGGUGAACCAUCUACAGUAGCGGCAGUGGAUGACUGGAUCAAGAGGAGUGAACGGGUGUGGGACAGCGCUUGUGUGAGGCUUCAACGUGCCAUUCGUUCUCAAAGAAUCCAGGCGGACCGUCGGAGGCGUCCCCACCCCAACUAUCAGCCAGGCCAGAAGGUCUGGCUUUCCACACGAAACCUUUUGCUACAACCACUGAUGAGGGGAGAAUGGAAUCUUGGUUAUUUUGGAAAGACAUAGGGUCAUACCUUCUAGAGAGAGCAUCUGCUUUACUGUUCUUGCUUCCAGGACGGUAGGUAACUGUGAAUCGGAAUCUGGUGAAGAAUAGAGACCAAGGGGCAUUCUGUAAUGCUUGCUCUCUCCAGCCAGCAGAGGGAGCCCUCACCAGAAUACUGACUACACUCCAUUUCUUCUACAGUUACUUCCUGUUUGUUAGAUAUAAAGAGCCAUGCUUUCUACUAACACUUUGCGAAGUAUUGCCAGUCUUUUCUGCCUUACUGAGCGUUCUUUCCAUUGUCAUUGUUACUGCUUCUUGUUAUGACCAUUUGCCUGUUUCUUGGAUAUCACGUUUUGGAUUACUGUUUUUGCCUUGGUUACCUCUUUGGACUGUCUAUUUUGAUCACUAAACCCUGCCUGUAUUUUUGACCACCUCUUUGCCUGUUGAUUUGGAUUUACUGCUACAAAUAAACUUCUGCAAAUGGAUUCAAAACAGAAACAAA
This is a long non-coding RNA of Ctenopharyngodon idella (grass carp), 3575 nucleotides long. RefSeq lists it as uncharacterized. Lineage: Eukaryota; Metazoa; Chordata; Actinopteri; Cypriniformes; Xenocyprididae. The record is from RefSeq and is a predicted model, not a curated record. The transcript is spliced from 2 exons.